Molecule: non-coding RNA, 73 nt
Organism: Heterocephalus glaber (naked mole-rat)
Lineage: Eukaryota; Metazoa; Chordata; Mammalia; Rodentia; Bathyergidae
Source: Rfam
GCCUUCUUAGCGCAGCAGGCAGCGCGUCAGCCUCAUAAUCUGAAGGUCCUGAGUUUGAGCCUCAGAGAAGGCA